AGAACGAACGCUGGCGGCAUGCCUAAUACAUGCAAGUCGAACGAACUCUUCGGAGUUAGUGGCGCACGGGUGCGUAACGCGUGGGAAUCUGCCCCUUGGUUCGGAAUAACAGUUGGAAACGACUGCUAAUACCGGAUGAUGACGAAAGUCCAAAGAUUUAUCGCCAAGGGAUGAGCCGCGUAGGAUUAGCUAGUUGGUGAGGUAAAGGCUCACCAAGGCAACGAUCCUUAGCUGGUCUGAGAGGAUGAUCAGCCACACUGGGACUGAGACACGGCCCAGACUCCUACGGGAGGCAGCAGUAGGGAAUAUUGGACAAUGGGCGAAAGCCUGGAUCCAGCAAUGCCGCGUGAGUGAUGAAGGCCUUAGGUUGUAAAGCUCUUUACCGAGAUGAUAAUGACAGUAAUCGGAAGAAUAAGACCCCGGCCUAAACGUCCGUGCCAGCAGCCGC
This 448-nucleotide ribosomal RNA is filed under the name uncultured soil bacterium. Its description in RNAcentral is "bacterial SSU rRNA". It matches the Rfam family "Bacterial small subunit ribosomal RNA", at positions 26 to 518 of the family's 1533-position model. The record is from RNAcentral.